RNAcentral lists this ribosomal RNA (462 nucleotides) under uncultured bacterium. RNAcentral's name for it is "bacterial SSU rRNA". It matches the Rfam family "Bacterial small subunit ribosomal RNA", at positions 28 to 508 of the family's 1533-position model. The record is from RNAcentral.
GACAAACGCUGGCGGCGUGCAUAAAACAUGCAAGUCGGACGAGCCAAUCCCCGCAAGGGGAAAGGCUAGUGGCGAACGGCUGAGUAACACGUAGGUGACCUGCCCCGAAGUGGGGGAUAACGACUCGAAAGAGUCGCUAAUACCGCAUGUGACCACCGACUCGUUUCGGUGCUCAAAGUCGCAAGACGCUUUGGGAGGGGCCUGCGGCGGAUUAGCUAGUUGGUGAGGUAAUGGCCCACCAAGGCUUCGAUCCGUAGCUGGUCUGAGAGGAUGGCCAGCCAGACUGGGACUGAGACACGGCCCAGACUCCUACGGGAGGCAGCAGUUAGGAAUUUUGCGCAAUGGGGGAAACCCUGACGCAGCCACGCCGCGUGCGGGAUGAAGGCCUUCGGGUCGUAAACCGCCUUUCUCGAGGAAGACACCCGACGGUACUCGAGGCAUAAGCAACGGCUAACUACGUGC